UUCGCUAUAAAAAUUUAGUAAUUGUUUAAUUUUUUAACGCAAACGAACAAAUAAAGAUAUCAAAAUUCUCUUCCUAAUAAUUUUAGCUGUUGCUAUUGUUGCUGUUUUCUGGUACAUGAUAUACCACUAUUUCAUUAAAUAAGUUUAAAAAUGUUGCGAAAAAAUGGUCCAUUUUCAUGUUCCACAAAGUGCCACGCUGCGAAGGGGCGCUGUUAAAGUGUAAUCUCAGGAAGGGCCACGACCUUACUACACUGCCACAAAAAUAUUAUACUUUCUACACUUUUAGAGAUAUUAUAAAACUUUACACUUUCGUAUAAUACUCUUUAAAAAAGAUGCCUUGAACGAUACAUUCCAUGAAAGAAAUUAUGCAAAUAGGAAAUGUGUGAAAAGCCUCGCAUCGGAAAACUGUCAAAUAAAUCAAAAAUGGACGUCCACUUGCCACUGCAACCCGUUUUUCCGGCCAAGUUCGAGCCCAUGGCGACGGUGGCGCCUGGAAACGUGCAAUUAAUCAAGAGUUCAGUAAACGCUUUUUAUGCGAAUCCCGGAGAGCAGUCCACGUCAAUCAAGAUGCGUAUUUUUGCAUGUUCAAAAUUACACAACACGUGAGACCUGGUACAGACUCGCCACAGACGACACCCGGAGCAAUGAACUUGGACUGCCGCGAUCGCCGUCUUGCCUGGCUACCCUCUGGACUCGGAGCUGGAAUCUCGGGGAACAGUUCCUUUGCACCAACUACACUGAGAUAAACAGACUCAGACAGCCAUUAAACAGAAAAGGUGUUCUUGCCUAUUAAAUAUUUCCAUUAUU
This is a long non-coding RNA of Drosophila bipectinata, 807 nucleotides long. RefSeq lists it as uncharacterized. NCBI's taxonomy places the organism in Eukaryota, Metazoa, Arthropoda, Insecta, Diptera, Drosophilidae. The record is from RefSeq and is a predicted model, not a curated record.